Acanthosepion pharaonis is the source of this 113-nucleotide non-coding RNA. The record is from the annotation of a GenBank genome assembly. NCBI's taxonomy places the organism in Eukaryota, Metazoa, Mollusca, Cephalopoda, Sepiida, Sepiidae.
UUACAGCCAUAUCACAUUGAAACGCUGGUUCUUGAUUGAUCACAGAAGUUAAGCAAUGUUGAGCCUGGUCAGUACAUAGAUAGGUGACUUCUUGGGAAUGCCAGAUGCUGUAA